This is a long non-coding RNA of Aegilops tauschii subsp. strangulata, 1112 nucleotides long. RefSeq lists it as uncharacterized. The record is from RefSeq and is a predicted model, not a curated record. Lineage: Eukaryota; Viridiplantae; Streptophyta; Magnoliopsida; Poales; Poaceae.
CGUCGUUGCUGCACCGCCGACCCCGCCGUCGCCGGAUUCGGGACCCCACACCCGAAUCCACCCAUCCCCGACCUCCUCCGACCGUUCCGGCCUCCCCGACGCUCGCCGGAGCCCGAGCGCGGCCGUGACCACGACCUCGUCCGCCUCCCCCCAGGACGCCCCGAGCCCUCCAACCAAACGCCCGGGCCGCGCUGUACAGCUCCAUCCGGAUCCCCUUGUCCCGUUUCGCCAGGUUACCUACUCGAGGACGAGCAGAAAUCACAAAAAAGGAAGCUCUUUGGCAAGUACAGCACUGGACUCUUAACACAAAUCAUUUUCAAGCUGUGCUAGGCAUACCCAAAUAAGUAAGUGUGUCAAUGUCAUCUAAUAUUUCGACGCAGAUGCUUUGCAGCAUUUCGUUGAGAACUAUGUUGUCAUAUCUCGAGGCAUUUGUCACUAGGCAGUGUGAAAUGACUCCUGAGUCCUUUUCCUCAAUGGAUGAAUCAUAUCUCUAUUUAUUUUAUCUAAAAAGACUUAAAAUUUCGUAUUUCACCAACUAACAUUUCACUCAUCACCUUGAUCCAACCCCCCCACCAAGUACGUCCACUCCUCCCCCUCUUGUUUGAAAUUUUUUCAUCUCACCUAUAAUUUCCGCCCACGAGUUUUCGUUGAAUACAACACGCAUGCUAUUUUACACAGGGUGCGGAACUCAUUUUUUGAUGAAAAAUUGCAAGGGCUCGAAGCAUUUACAUUUGCAAUGAGGGAAUAAAAUAAGACUUGAAGCAUUUAUAUACAAAACCUGUAUUCGUCAUGAUGGCUGCAAUGAUAUUGUAUGUUGUUCGAUAAGAUAAUUUUUUUAUUCCCCUUUCAUGCUUGGUCUUCGCUUCAGCGGUUGGAGGACCCGGAGAUGGUUAAGAAGUAUGCACAAAUAGAAUGGUGACCAGAGAGUUUCUUGACAUUAGUGUUUGUCCCCUUAUUUUUGUUUUUCUAGAUCUUUGUGUUGAGUAUAUUGAUUAUUAGAAAAGACGAGAUAGUUUAGUAUUUGUUCCGGCUUGUCUUGUACUUCAAAUUGAUUAUUGUACUCCUAUAUAUGUGCCCACGAGGCUCAAGCAAUACAACAAUGAUUCCAACAA